This 784-nucleotide ribosomal RNA is filed under the name Klebsiella pneumoniae. Its description in RNAcentral is "bacterial SSU rRNA". It matches the Rfam family "Bacterial small subunit ribosomal RNA", at positions 30 to 768 of the family's 1533-position model. Lineage: Bacteria; Pseudomonadati; Pseudomonadota; Gammaproteobacteria; Enterobacterales; Enterobacteriaceae. The record is from RNAcentral.
UNAAUCGCGGAGGCUACACGAUGCAGUCGAGCGGUAGCACAGAGAGCUUGCUCUCGGGUGACGAGCGGCGGACGGGUGAGUAAUGUCUGGGAAACUGCCUGAUGGAGGGGGAUAACUACUGGAAACGGUAGCUAAUACCGCAUAACGUCGCAAGACCAAAUGUGGGGGACCUUCUGGUGCCUCAUGCCAUCAGAUGUGCCCAGAUGGGAUUAGCUAGUANAGUGGGGUAACGGCUCACCUAGGCGACGAGUCCCUAGCUGGUCUGAGAGGAUGACCAGCCACACUGGAACUGAGACACGGUCCAGACUCCUACGGGAGGCAGCAGUGGGGAAUAUUGCACAAUGGGCGCAAGCCUGAUGCAGCCAUGCCGCGUGUAUGAACGAAGGCCUUCGGGUUGUAAAGUACUUUCAUGCGGGGAGGAAGGCGAUACAGGUUAAUAACCUUGUCGAUUGACGUUAACCGCAGAAGAAGCACCGGCUAACUCCGUGCCAGCAGACCGAGGUAAUACGGAGCGGUGCAAGCGUUAGUCGGAAUUACUGGGCGUACAAGCAGCNACGCAGGCUGGUCUGUCAAGUCGGAUGUGACAUCCACCGGGGCUCAACCCUUGGGGAACCUGCAUUCGACAANCUGGCCAGGGCUAGAAGUCAUUAGUAGAAGGGGGGUAGCAAUAUCCACGUGUGUAGCGGUGAACAUCGCGGUAGANAGAAUCUGGCACGAAUACCNGUUGCGCGAAAGGGGGCCCCCUNGGAACAAAAACGACACUCACGUNCGAAANCUUNGAGNC